GUCCUCUCUAUUCCUCUUUUUCUCCUCGAGGACCAACAAACAAAGUAUCUUUUGAAGUAUAGCAUUUGUAAAGUUUUUAAGGGAAUAACCUUCACUUUAGCGAGCUUCCAGAGAAACUACAUUCAACAGGAGAAACGAAAUUUUGAAUAGAAGGAUUAGUGCCCGUAGCAGUCCUGGAGUUAGGUUAUGAUGGUCGUGAUGAGCUCUACUAGAAAAAAAUCUCUUCUAUGAAUAGAGGAAGUGCUAUCUAAGGGGCUUUCUAAGCCCAGCCCUUGAAUUCCGUUCCGUAGUUCAAUCCGGAACUCCAGAUGUGUAAGUAGCGGCCAAGCGGCUCUGUCCUUUUCAAAGAGGUUAUCCUUCUCUGUCCCCGCUUUAUAGUGUUAUAGGAUAGCUCCCCAC
RNAcentral lists this long non-coding RNA (399 nucleotides) under Elaeis guineensis (African oil palm). RNAcentral's name for it is "long non-coding RNA (EGUI_LNC026700)". The record is from RNAcentral. Lineage: Eukaryota; Viridiplantae; Streptophyta; Magnoliopsida; Arecales; Arecaceae.